RNA transcript from Oncorhynchus keta (chum salmon), 8097 nucleotides. It is a transcript of the gene named CUE domain-containing protein 1, with no coding region annotated. The transcript is spliced from 10 exons. NCBI's taxonomy places the organism in Eukaryota, Metazoa, Chordata, Actinopteri, Salmoniformes, Salmonidae. The record is from RefSeq and is a predicted model, not a curated record.
CUUUGUUUCUGGGAUAAUACGAUGCAGGCUCUGUGCCUCCGACUGACAGACAUUUUUUUCUCUGCAUUGCUCUGGUUUACUACUAUUAUCAACCAACAUAAGAAUAGUUUUGUGGACAGUUCUCUGUUGCAAUAAUUCGGACUAUCAAAACACGGGCACUGAAGGGAGUCACCCACAAUCUGUUUUUGUCAAUAAAAAAGCAAACAUUCACAGGAGAAAUCACCGUCGUAGUUCCCCUUCGGAAAACAUUUGUCUGCUUUUCAAUUAGUGCUGACUGUUUUAGACCAGAGAUGCAGGUCCCCAAAUUUGGCGCUCCCCGGACCUGAAACUGGUGACUGGACUGAGGAGUGGACACAAACCAAAGAGCCCCUUCUCUACAGCCAGCCGUGCUGGAUGCAGCUGAAUAACAAGCUGAGGAAGAGAAAAAGAAAGAGCAUUUGAUUCUUCCGCUCCAUUCAGAGGACUGCCAUCCAUGUGGUGGUAUGAUGAGACUGUGAGCCAAGAGAAACACAAUCAGACAGGAGCGUAGUGAUAAAGGGAGAGAAAGAAAGAAAGGCAAGAAAGGAUUAAGGGUGCGAGGUGAGUGUCUAGGUGCCCUCCUAACCCCUAGGUAGUAGCACCAGUCAGGGCAGCAAGAUGACCAGCCUGUUCAGGCGCAGCAGCAGUAAUGGAGGCUCCAGGGGAGGUGGAGGAGGAGGGGGAGGCAGUGGUGGUUCCACCCCAGGAGAUCUCAACAACAGCAGGCCUAACCGACAAGUCCGGCGCCUGGAAUUCAACCAGGCCAUGGAGGACUUCAAGAUCAUGUUCCCCACCAUGGAUUACGAGGUCAUCGAGUGCGUCCUGCGUUCCAACAACGGGGCGGUGGACGCCACCAUCGACCAGCUCCUCCAGAUGAGUAUCGACGGAGAGGGAUCAGAUGACAGCUCUGACUCCGAUGACAGCAUCCCACCAGAGGUUCUGGAGAGGACAUUAGAACCGGACAGUUCUGACGAGGAACCGCCUCCUGUCUACUCACCGCCCACUUAUGACAUGCACAUCUAUGACAGGAAGUACCCAGAGGCCCCGCCCACUCCUCCACCAAGGUUCGAGGCUCAGCCACCUCCAGGUCACCGGCAGGUCCGCAGCUUCAGGAACUGGAAUCCGCCAUUGCUUGGCAACCUUCCAGAUGAUUUCCUGCGGAUCCUGCCACAGCAACUGGACAGUAUACAGGGCUCACAGAGCAGUCUGUCCCAGCCUUCUUCCUCCUCCUCUCUGUCCUCCAUUGUCCAGCAGACGACCCAGGGAGGUAUCUCCAGGCCAGGGGCUGGUGGAGCCCUAGGGGGCCCUGGAGGUCCAGUUGGUGCCGAGGGCAUGGAGGGGACAGGCACGGAGCAAGAGCGUAAACUGAAACAGUACCUGGAUGAUGAGCGCAUCGCCCUGUUCCUCCAGAACGAGGAGUUCAUGAGGGAGCUGCAGCGCAACCGCGAGUUCCUCGUCGCCCUAGAGAGAGAUCGCUUGAAGUAUGAAUCAAAGAAAUCCAAGUCCAAUCAUUCAUCCACUCACAUGGAGAAUUCCACAGCAGGAGAGCACUGUGCGUCAGGGUCGAUGGAGGCUUGUACUGCUGUGUCAGAUGACGCCAUGUUUAGAGACAAACUCAAACACAUGGGCAAAUCAACACGAAAGAAGCUGUUUGAAAUCGCCAGAUCAUUCUCUGACAAGACAAAGAGAAGAAAGUUAAAAAGAAGAACGCUCCUGAAGCACCAGUCGUAUCCUUCAUUGCCAGUCGAUUCUAAUUUCCUAUCAGAAACGUUAGAUGGGUUCCAUUUUGCAGUGUUUUAUAGAACUCAAUGAUCACGUACCACAUACUGUAUAAUACAGAUGUCCAGUGCCUUUGGUAAUUUUCAGACCCCUUUUGUUAGGUUUCCACCUUUUGUUAGGUUACAGCCUUAUUCUAAAAUGUAUUAAAUAGUUUUUUAAAGUCAAAAAUAAACAUCAGAAAUAUCACAUUUACGGAGGUAUUCAGACCCUUUACUCAGUACUGUGUUGAAGCACCUUUGGCAGCGAUUACAGCCUCGAGUCUUCUUGGGUAUGACUCUACAAGCUUGGCACACCUGUAUUUGGGGAGUUUCUCCCAGUCUUCUCUGCAGACCUCAAGCUCUGUCAGGUUGGAGUGUUUUCAGGUCUCUCCAAAGAUGUUGGAUCGGGUUUAAGUCCGGGCUCUGGCUGGGCCACACAAGGACAUUCAGAGACUUGUCCCGAAGCCACACCUGCAUUGUCUUGGCUGUGUGCUUAGUGUCGUUGUCCUGUUGGAAGGUGAACCUUCACCCCAGUCUGAGGUCCUGAGCACUCUGGAGCAGGUUUUCAUCAACGAUCUCACCGUACUUUGCUCUGUUCAUCUUUGCCUCGAUUCUGACUAGUCAUCCAGUCCAUGCCUCUGAAAAACAUCCCCACAGCAUGAUGCUGCCACCACCAUGCUUCACCGUAGGGAUGGUGCCAGGUUUCCUCCAGACUUGACGCUUGGCAUUCAGGCCAAAGAGUUCAAUCUUGGUUUCAUCAGACCAGAGAAUCUUGUUUCUCAUGGUCUGAGAGUCUUUAGGUGCAUUUUGACAAACUCUAAGCAGGCUGUCGUGUGCUUUUUACUGAGGAGUGGCUUCUGUCUGGCCUAAUUGGUGGAGUUCCAAACUUAUUCCAUUUAAGAAUGAUAACUUUCCUAGUUAAAUAAAGGUUACACAAUGAUUGAGGCCACUGGGUUCUCAGGGCCCUUCAAUGCUGCAGAAAUAAUCAAGUUGUAGAAGCAUCUCAAGUAUGAUCAACGGAAACAGGAUGCACCUCAGCUUCAUUCCCUCAGCUUCAUUACUUUCGUACAUAAGGUAUUUCUGUUUUAUAUAUAUAUAUAUAUAUAUACACAGUGGGGAGAACAAGUAUUUGAUACACUGCCGAUUUUGCAGGUUUUCCUACUUACAAAACAUGUAGAGGUCUGUAAUUUUUAGCAUAAGUACACUUCAACUGUGAGACGGAAUCUAAAACAAAGAAAAUCACAUUGUAUGAUUUUUAAGUCAUUAAUUAGCAUUUUAUUGCAUGACAUAAGUAUUUGAUACAUCAGAAAAGCAGAACUUAAUAUUUGGUACAGAAUCCUUUGUUUGCAAUUACAGAGAUCAUACGUUUCCUGUAGUUCUUGACCAGGUUUGCACACACUGCAGCAGGGAUUUUGGCCCACUCCUCCAUACAGACCUUCUCCAGAUGCUUCAGGUUUCGGGGCUGUCGCUGGGCAAUACGGACUUUCAGCUCCCUCCAAAGAUUUUCUAUUGUGUUCAGGUCUGGAGACUGGCUAGGCCACUCCAGGACCUUGAGAUGCUUCUUACGGAGCCACUCCUUAGUUGCCCUGGCUGUGUGUUUCGGGUCGUUGUCAUGCUGGAAGACCCAGCCACGACCCAUCUUCAAUGCGCUUACUGAGGGAAGGAGGUUGUUGGCCAAGAUCUCGCGAUACAUGGCCCCAUCCAUCCUCCCCUCAAUACGGUGCAGUCGUCCUGUCCCCUUUGCAGAAAAGCAUCCCCAAAGAAUUAUGUUUCCACCUCCAUGCUUCACGGUUGUGAUGGUAUUAUUGGGGUUGUACUCAUCCUUCUUCUUCCUCCAAACAUGGCGAGUGGAGUUUAGACCAAAAAGCUCUAUUUUUGUCUCAUCAGACCACAUGACCUUCUCCCAUUCCUCCUCUGGAUCAUCCAGAUGAUCAUUGGCAAACUUCAGACAGGCCUGGACAUGCGCUGGCUUGAGCAGGGGGACCUUGCGUGCCCUGCAGGAUUUUAAUCCAUGACGGUGUAGUGUGUUACUAAUGGUUUUCUUUGAGACUGUGGUCCCAGCUCUCUUCAGGUCAUUGACCAGGUCCUGCCGUGUAGUUCUGGGCUGAUCCCUCACCUUCCUCAUGAUCAUUGAUGCCCCACGAGGUGAGAUCUUACAUGGAGCCCCAGACCGAGGGUGAUUGACCGUCAACUUGAACGUCUUCCAUUUUCUAAUAAUUGCGCCAACAGUUGUUACCUACUCAUCAAGCUGCUUGCCUAUUGUCAUGUAGCCCAUCCCAGCCUUGUGCAGGUCUACAAUUUUAUCCCUGAUGUCCUUACACAGCUCUCUGGUCUUGGCCAUUGUGGAGCGGUUGGAGUCUGUUUGAGUGUGUGGACAGGUGUCUUUUAUACAGGUAACGAGUUCAAACAGGUGCAGUUAAUACAUGUAAUGAGUGGAGAACAGGAGGGCUUCUUAAAGAAAAACGAACAGGUCUGUGAGAGCCGGAAUUCUAACUGGUUGGUAGUUGAUCAAAUACGUAUGUCAUGCAAUAAAAUGCUAAUUAAUUACUUAAAAAUCGUACAAUGUGAUUUUCUGGAUUUUUGUUUUAGAUUCCGUCUCUCACAGUUGAAGUCUACGUAUGAUCAAAAUUACAGACCUCUACAUGCUUUCCCUUUAGGUGUUUUCCUCGACCAUAUCCCCACUAAGACUGGGCAUAGCCAACUCUACAGCCAACCUCCUGGAGGAUGUGGAGGGAAGCCCGGAAGAUGGCCAGCCCAGAAGAUCAGACACUCAAGAAAAUGAUGUGCCACACAAGGAGCUGUUGUCAUGAUCCUCCAAGGCUGUACCACAUCAGUGUUUCCAUGGUGACAGCAGAAUGACCCAUGGCUGGUGGUCAAGCAAUACUUCAGCUCCUCCCUCCCCUAACACAGACCAGCUAAUCCCAGGCCAAGAAGUGACAUGGGACCACCCACUUGCCCAGGGGGAGAAGAAGCAAACUGCUAUCCACACACCACCUCUCCUUAACUCUGACUGUUCAUAAUCGCAUUGGAUUACCAUUAUAAUCUCUGUAUUAUAACUCUUAGUUAAUAUAUGAUUUAAUAUGUAAAGGACCAGAUGCAUUAGUCUUUUGACUGUUCUGUAUUUUUUUUUUAAAUAUCCGCUCCCUUUAAUCCCCAUUGCAGAAGGCAUGGCAGCCUUGGUGAGGAUGAUCUUACCAUAUGGACUCAUCUAGUGUUACCAGUCUAAUCUAUUUUUUAUGGCUGGGAUAGGUCACUCCUGAGCCAAAGUGUGCACCUCUGAAAUGUCCCAUAAUAAUGUCCAUGUGUUGCUACGUCCAUUUGGUCACAGUUUUAAACAGACAGUAAUCAGUGAUGACGUGGCACGUUUUUAAACAUCCCAACUAGAAUCACAGCUCAAUCCAAGUUCAAUCCCAUUUUUCCUGAAAGUUCAGGAAACAGAAAAGACUUGUAAACAGAGACCCUAACAUUACAGUCAACAUUAUAUUCACCCCCCCCCCUUUAAAUCUAGAGUUUCCUCUGAGCAAUUUGACACCCUUCUGCUGCACCCUAUAUAAAAGAGAGGCAUUCCAACCUGUCAAAAUAGUCACUUGUCCCUAGCGGGUCAUAUUUCAUCCCAUAUUGUUAUGUCAAUGUGUAACUAAAUGCCAAGCUUUCCCUUUAAUCCAAUUUCAGGAAUUCUGACAAUAAACAUAAGCUUUCAUGUGAACUGAAAUAUUCCUCAAGCUACACUGACUGCCAUAUCUCAGUAUUCUCAUGUCUUUUUCAAUACAGCAUUUAUAUCUUGUUGAGAGGAAGGAGGGGUGGCAUAUUGCUGAAUUCCAGUAUUAUUGAGUACACAAUAUAACUACUUGAAAAAUUUGAUAAACAUAUAUACCAGUCAUCUGUGCACAUUGAUGAUAAACAUGUGUUUUGUUUUGUGGUGUAUUGGGAAAUGAACCACUUGUAAUGGGAAGUGUUGGGUAUGGAGAGAGCAGAGCAGGAUAUGGAUGAUGCCUCUGUGAGGACUGGCAUUGUUCUUGAUUAAAUACGCUGUUGGAUGUAUCAGUAUAAAAGAGAAGGCUGAUGAUGACCCAGUGCUGUGAUAUGAGCUUCAACAGACAGUCGAGGUAGAUUUGAAAUCAACCCUUUGAGCAACUAGCUGAUUUGCAAGGCUUCACAUUGAUCUGUCAAUUUCCCAACGAUUGGAAAUUAUUACCAGCUUCAAUCUUAUUCUGAAGCCUUCUCCCCAAAGUGUGCUCUUUGCUCACAAUCAUUAAAAAGGAAGGGAAUGACUGGUGUAGGAAAUAUAUUUUAAUGUUUUAAAAUGUAUUCGUAGGAGUGAGCAAGCCAAGUGCACUUUGGGGAGAAGGGUGGGGAAUUGUAACACACCACUCUUCCAUCUAAAAUGGAUUUACAUGUAAAUGGUUGAUUUGCUACCUCUCAAAUUAUGACGUAUCCACGAUUGAAAAUUAAUAUUUUUACGAUUGAAAUUUAAGAUUGUUCAAAUCACCCAUUUACCAUGUUUCCUUGAUUCAGGAAUGAGACAUGUUUUAACCCCUUCUCUGUCAGGGAUUUGACAGAAGAUCUCAUUGGUGAUAGGUCAUGUGUUGUACAUAAGGAGAAAUGUCUGUUUGUUGUACAUACGGAGAAAAUUCAAGUAUUGAUUGUGUGAAGGGAGGCUGAAACUGACCCUUUUGGUGUUCCUUUUGAAGUCUGUUGAUGUUAUGGAUUGGGUUUGGAAUUUUGCCCUGUAGACAAUUUCUGUGUGUUGUCAAUUUCUUGUUUGUUAGUUUUGCUCUCAGCAUUUCUCAUACAGGUCUUCACAAACUCUCAAAAAUUGAUGCCAAUAAAAGGAGUUUAUUGCCCUUGCCAUAAUGAAAACAAUUUGCCAGACUGCUAUAAUGUCACCCAAUCAUUUGUACUGUUAUUGAACAACAGAUCAUUCAGCUUACUCAAACUGCCAUCAGACUAUCCAUUUACCUUCAUUAUUACUGUCAUGCUAUUCACACAUUCAUAUCUAUAUAGGUGUUUAAAAUGGGCUUUUAGAAAAAAAUAUAUAUAGCUUUUACUGUACCAGACUGUUUCAAAUAUCACCCCAUGAUAGUGGAGUGCUUUCAUUUAUUUCCAUAGAGGACAUUCUAACUCAUAUCUGCAGCAACCGAGGGAGCAUCAGUGACAAGAAGCAGGUUAUGUUUGUUUACAAUAUCCUGUGACCUUUCACCCACUGACCAGUCAGCAGGUUUAUGUCUGUUUAUUCCAACAUUGCAUGAUAUCAGUUAGUCACCAAGUGCUUGCACUCCAUUGGUCUUUUGCUUAGUUUUGUUCUUUUCAGAAAAGAGAGAAAUUAAAUGUUUUGUAUCUUCAGUUCCAGGCUUUUGAUUGACAUAUGUACAUGCAGUUUUGUUAUUGUACUGUCGAGGGCAACACUCGUCUGCAUGGUUUUGUGAUGUGAUUUCAAAAUGGAUUGAUGUUUGAUGACUGCUCAUAGAAACUUGUAGAUACGUUAUCGUCUCAGGGAAGUUUCCAUCUUCUUUCUACUGUUCUUCCAUUUCCAAUUGGUCCCACUUGGUAAAAGCACAAUUAAGAAUCUAGGCCGGUAGUUUAUUCCAUCAGAAGCUUCAAAUAUGAUUUUGGUGGCCAGACAUGAUUUCAAAUGCUGGACCUGCAUAUAGGCCUAGUUGUUGUAUGGAGAAGAGCAUACUCAAAGUAAUUUCUCACUCUAACGUUUUAACCUUUUCUGACCAAUUAUUGUACUGUAUGUGUGCCAGACAGUGAUAUGCUUCAUGAUGAAUGUACAUGAAUAGAGAUGAGGCCAGUACUAGCAGACAACAUGCUUGUUUACAAUGCACUCAUGAGCCUGCAAUCUUCUAUGGCUCAUAACCAUAUGAUAAGAAUGUAUGCUACAUUUACUUUGAAUAACUACCACCACAGAGCUUGAUGGUUUUCAGCCUCUUUUGUAUUGAACUCGAUGAGAUCUGUGUGGUCUGUCCAGAAACAACCCCUAUAGCCCCUAAACCAUUUUUGUAGAUCUGUUUCUGGAUUGGGCUGUAACCAAUACAUUUAAAGAACUUCAGAAUUUGUAUGAUUCAAAAUGUGUUUGUUUGUGUCAUAUUUUGGAAGGACAAGGUCAGAAGCCAGUUUCUCCCCACAAAAUAUGUUUAAGGUUCUUUAGGUGAUUGUUUUACUCAAAAUUGUUUUCCGGAUCAGAUUUUUCUUACACUUUAAGAAAGUAUAGCUAUUGAAGUAAUCAAGUUGUGUUGUACCCUGUCUGAUGUGAUUGUGUUACAUUUGUAAAGAUUUAUUAACAUCCCUUUUCAUUAAAGUUGUUUCAAAUCAAAUCAAA